Molecule: long non-coding RNA, 869 nt
Organism: Salvia splendens (bonfire salvia)
Lineage: Eukaryota; Viridiplantae; Streptophyta; Magnoliopsida; Lamiales; Lamiaceae
Exons: 6
Source: RefSeq, a predicted model, not a curated record
AUUUAGUCCAGUAUGUAUGGGUUUGGAAUUCAUAUUGUUUGUAUUUUGUCCUUGUUGCAUAUUAACCUUGUUUACAUGCAGUCCAAACCAUUGAAGGGGAAACAAAUAAACAAAUUUCUGUUAGGAGAAAGCAUAGAGACGGCGCUGUGCCACUUUUUUUAUGCUAGCCUUUAUGCGCAAGGUCAAAUGAGCCCUUUAUGCUAACCAGGCCACUUUUCACAUUCACAACGCGUUUAUGAGUUUUCUAGAGAAUCGGUCCACCCAGAGCUCAAAUGCAUUUCCAAUUCCCCGCUUCGUCAGGAAUAAGUGGUAGCAUUUACUCAUCUAGCCUUGUUAGCAUUGGAAUUGGUGCUAUGCCCUAAACACCGGAAAUUGGCUCUGAUGAUAUAGAACCUGUUGGAUCCCAGAUUCCUUCUAGUUCCUUCAUCUCACAUUUCAAUUGGCGAAGGUCCACAAACUCCUGAAAACGACAUCAUUCCUUCAUUCUCUUUUGCUUUGGCUAGCUACUAAUGGAACCUUCCAGUUGUGCAAAAGAAACUGGAAAUGCUGCAUAUCCUACUAAUGCAACUCUGUCUUCCUAGCAUCUUGGGACUAAUGUCUCUGAGCCAUUUAUGUACCAUACUAUCUCAGAGAAGAUAAUGGAGCACAAGUAUGAAUAGCAGCAGCCGAAAAGGAGUUGAGGAGGAGCUAACUUCUAAAGGGGUUAUUAGUGUAGACUUCGUUUUUCUCAAGGGUUGAUCUGCAAACUUAGUUGUUGCUUACUAACUUCUGAAGUCCUAGGUUUCCCGUGCUUCAAAUAAGUGAUAACAGUGUUCUUUGUUGCCCGAUUUCUUGAGCUAAGGAGAGAGAACUAUUCCGGUUUUGAAAAA